This 207-nucleotide ribosomal RNA is filed under the name uncultured bacterium. Its description in RNAcentral is "partial 16S ribosomal RNA". It matches the Rfam family "Bacterial small subunit ribosomal RNA", at positions 568 to 774 of the family's 1533-position model. The record is from RNAcentral.
CGCGUAGGCGGUGAACACAGUUAGGCGUGAAAUUCCCGGGCUCAACCUGGGGGCUGCGCUUAAUACAUGUUCGCUUGAGUUCGGAAGAGGGUCGUGGAAUUCCCAGUGUAGAGGUGAAAUUCGUAGAUAUUGGGAAGAACACCGGUGGCGAAGGCGGCGACCUGGUCCGAUACUGACGCUGAGGCGCGAAAGCGUGGGGAGCAAACA